RNAcentral lists this transfer RNA (83 nucleotides) under Mucilaginibacter tundrae. RNAcentral's name for it is "Mucilaginibacter sp. E4BP6 tRNA-Leu". It matches the Rfam family "tRNA". Rfam says of the family: Transfer RNA (tRNA) molecules are approximately 80 nucleotides in length. Their secondary structure includes four short double-helical elements and three loops (D, anti-codon, and T loops). RNAcentral also lists the same sequence under 1 other name. Lineage: Bacteria; Pseudomonadati; Bacteroidota; Sphingobacteriia; Sphingobacteriales; Sphingobacteriaceae. The record is from RNAcentral.
GAGGAUGGUAGAGUGGUCGAUUACGACAGACUUAAAAUCUGUAGGCCCACAAGGGCCCGGGGGUUCGAAUCCCUCUUCUUCCG